AGUCGAGCGGUAAGGCCCUUCGGGGUACACGAGCGGCGAACGGGUGAGUAACACGUGGGUGAUCUGCCCUGCACUUCGGGAUAAGCCUGGGAAACUGGGUCUAAUACCGGAUAUGACCUUCGGCUGCAUGGCUGAGGGUGGAAAGGUUUACUGGUGCAGGAUGGGCCCGCGGCCUAUCAGCUUGUUGGUGGGGUAAUGGCCUACCAAGGCGACGACGGGUAGCCGACCUGAGAGGGUGACCGGCCACACUGGGACUGAGACACGGCCCAGACUCCUACGGGAGGCAGCAGUGGGGAAUAUUGCACAAUGGGCGAAAGCCUGAUGCAGCGACGCCGCGUGAGGGAUGACGGCCUUCGGGUUGUAAACCUCUUUCAGCAGGGACGAAGCGAAAGUGACGGUACCUGCAGAAGAAGCACCGGCU
Molecule: ribosomal RNA, 421 nt
Filed under: Rhodococcus opacus
Lineage: Bacteria; Bacillati; Actinomycetota; Actinomycetes; Mycobacteriales; Nocardiaceae
Description: bacterial SSU rRNA
Rfam family: Bacterial small subunit ribosomal RNA
Source: RNAcentral